AGUCUUAAUGAGACGGGAAUAGCAAACCACAUCACCUGUCUCCUGAGAAAACUGUAAGCAGGUCAAGAAGAAACAGUUAGAACCGGACAUAGAACAACCUCUUGUCCUGAUUUUCCCACAGCUGCACUGGAGCUUCCAGCAGUAUCCGGUGCUGGCCUUUCUGGAACCUGUCAGUCUCCGUGCGUUACCCUCGCUGUUCUCUGUGUCUGAAACGUCCUGCUCAUUAAUCUCAGCUUUGAGUCAAGACUCAAACAUUACUUUCUGGAUAACGGGCCACUCUCCUUUCACUCCCAGCAUAGGCAGAUACUCUUGUGAGAAGUCAUGUAUUUUUCUUCACUGAGCCAGUCCUUGAAAGAUAUCCCCGACAGACAUCAGGAGGCUAGCCUUUGUACCCUCUGGGUUCACCAGUCAGUACAGGUAGGCUGCCCCUUGGGAGGAUAUACAGCCCAGGG
RNAcentral lists this long non-coding RNA (452 nucleotides) under Bos indicus x Bos taurus (hybrid cattle). RNAcentral describes it as "lncRNA (ENSBIXG00000025515.1)". Lineage: Eukaryota; Metazoa; Chordata; Mammalia; Artiodactyla; Bovidae. The record is from RNAcentral.